Molecule: ribosomal RNA, 1125 nt
Filed under: Triticum aestivum (bread wheat)
Lineage: Eukaryota; Viridiplantae; Streptophyta; Magnoliopsida; Poales; Poaceae
Description: partial small subunit ribosomal RNA
Source: RNAcentral
AUGGCUUCGCUGCAGGUCGGCGCCGGCCGCGGCGUGGGUUGCUGCUUCGGUCCGCUGGACGGCCGGCGGCAGGAGAGGAGAGCGAUGGCGGCGCUGCGACCGCCGAGGGCGGGUGCGGGGGCGAAGGUGGCGGAGGGGGACAAGGUGAGACUGGGCGAGUCCAGCGUAGCGGUGAGCAAGCUCGGCAUCGGCGCCUGGUCGUGGGGCGACACCACCUACUGGAACGAUUCCGAGUGGGAUGACAGGAGACUGAAGGAGGCUAAAGCAGCAUUCGACGCCAGCAUCGACAGCGGAAUGACUUUCUUUGACACCGCCGAAGUAUACGGCACAGCGCUCAUGGGAGCAGUGAAUUCAGAAAGCCUACUGGGAGAUUUCAUCAGGGAGAGGCAGCAGAAGGGGGCGGUGGAGGUGACCGUGGCCACCAAGUUUGCGGCGCUACCCUGGAGGUUCGGACGUGGCAGUGUCCUCUCCGCGCUCAAGAAGUCGCUGGAGCGCCUCGGCCUCCCCUCCGUCGAGCUCUACCAGCUCCACUGGCCAGGGCUAUGGGGAAAUGAAGGGUACCUUGAUGGACUGGCGGAUGCGUACGAGCAAGGUCUCGUCAAGGCCGUCGGAGUCUCCAACUACAAUGAGAAACGCCUCCGGGACGCACACGCGCGGCUCAAGAAGAGGGGCGUCCCGCUGGCCGUCAACCAGGUGAACUACAGCCUCAUCUACAGGACGCCCGAGGAGAACGGCGUCAAGGCCGCCUGCGACGAGCUCGGCGUCACGCUCAUCGCCUAUUCCCCCAUCGCCCAAGGUGUUCUGUCAGGGAAAUACACUCCGGAGAAUCCACCCACGGGUCCUCGGGGGAAUACCUACACUCCCGAGUUCCUCACCAAGCUCCAACCGCUGAUGAACAGGAUCAAAGAGAUUGGAGUAAGCUAUGGCAAGAACCCAACUCAGGUGUCUCUGAACUGGCUGACCUGCCAGGGCAACGUGGUACCCAUCCCGGGGGCCAAGAACGCCGGGCAGGCAAUGGAGUUCGCCGGUGCACUCGGGUGGAGCCUCGCCGCCGACGAGGUCGAGGAGCUGCGGACCCUCGCGCGGGAGAUCAAGGGAAUCAAGAUGCCCAUCGAGGAGUCAUGA